RNAcentral lists this ribosomal RNA (424 nucleotides) under uncultured prokaryote. RNAcentral's name for it is "bacterial SSU rRNA". It matches the Rfam family "Bacterial small subunit ribosomal RNA", at positions 355 to 796 of the family's 1533-position model. The record is from RNAcentral.
UGGGGAAUCUUAGACAAUGGGCGAAAGCCUGAUCUAGCCAUGCCGCGUGAGUGACGAAGGCCCUAGGGUCGUAAAGCUCUUUCACCAGGGAAGAUAAUGACGGUACCUGGAGAAGAAACCCCGGCUAACUCCGUGCCAGCAGCCGCGGUAAUACGGAGGGGGUUAGCGUUGUUCGGAAUUACUGGGCGUAAAGCGCGCGUAGGCGGACUGUUAAGUCAGGGGUGAAAUCCCGGGGCUCAACCCCGGAACUGCCCUUGAUACUGGCAGUCUUGAGUUCGAGAGAGGUGAGUGGAAUUCCGAGUGUAGAGGUGAAAUUCGUAGAUAUUCGGAGGAACACCAGUGGCGAAGGCGGCUCACUGGCUCGAUACUGACGCUGAGGUGCGAAAGUGUGGGGAGCAAACAGGAUUAGAUACCCCCGUAGUCC